AAGGAAUGCGGGAAGACGGCGACACACGCACGCGGGCAAUGACAUUGAACGGGUCUGCCCUCGGGGAUUUUUCGCCCUGCCAGUGUGUGGCCGAGUUAUCCGGAGUGCCGGGUUAUCGAGAGCCGAGUUUUUGGGGCUCUACUGUAGCAAUCAAUUUUGAGAGGGUUUGUCUAAAAUUCAGUCUCUUCAUUUUUAUUAUAAUUUUGGAUAUGUGUGUCUGGUAUAAAUCAAGCAUUAAGUUUAUACUAAACAGCCAGAUAUAUUCUCUUCAAAUAUAAAAAUAGUAAAAUAAAUAAAUACUAAAAUCAUAAUUACUUCAAUCUGUUUUAUAGAUAUCUAUUUUUAAUAGAUCUUCUAUAAUAUAAUACAAGCUCUGAUAAAUAUUCUUUUCUCGCAUUGUUUGAGAUGUUUGCCACUUUUCUGAAUAAAGGUAUUUCUCUGAUUAUGAACAUAACAUGUUUUUGAUAUUUGUUUUAACAAUUAAAAACAUAGUUACUCAAAAUUUUAUUUUACAUUGAUCUUGAAAAGUUAUGAACACACACAAAGUUCAUAUGCAAUCAAAAGCAUAUGAACUUCUAGAUUGUGUUUGGAAUCUAGAAGUUAUAUAUGCUAAUGAUUGCAUCAAUUAUGUCUUUUAUUUGAACUUCUAAAAUACUGUAUCAUAAGAAUAUUUGAUGGAAGUUUUACCAUUUUGAAAGUUAUUGCUAACAUCUUAAAUAAUUAUUCUGUAUGUUGCUUUAUGAUAUAUUUGCUACUAGAAGUUUGUUACUAUGAUUUUUAAAAAUUUCAUAUAGUUUUUGAAUUUCUCAUAAAUUUGAUGAUAAAAUAUUCAUAUGCAUAAGUGUUUGUUAACUAGAGGAACACUGAACUAUCAUUCAUCAUGAAGUGCCUUCUUUAAAAUAUUUUAAAGAAUCUAACAUAUUAUUAUAUUAUAAGACUGAAUUUAUCUGAUUGAAAGCCAACUUGUGUAAAAUUUUAGAAUAAUAUAUUUUGAGAAUGCAGAUUAUUGCAAUAUUUUUAGAAUUAAUUUUAUUACUUCUAAUGAUAUUGUGAAAAUUUAAAGUCUUUAAUAUAAAAAUUUUAAAGUCACAAUUAUAUAAAUCUGAAUAGCAGUGCUUCUUACAAUAAACAUGUUAAAAAUGCUGUUUUAUAAUUUUUUGUAAAACCAGAUUGAUUUUUGUCUAAAUAUUUUAAUAUUACAUAUGGAAUGCUAUAUUAUUGAAUGAAAUUUAUCAUUCAUAGUUAAUCCUUAAAAAUCCAGAUUAUUUUUUCAAAAUUUUUCUUGUCAGCUUUAAUGAGCUAUUGAGACUGUAUUGCAAAA
This 1321-nucleotide long non-coding RNA is filed under the name Androctonus crassicauda. Lineage: Eukaryota; Metazoa; Arthropoda; Arachnida; Scorpiones; Buthidae. The record is from RNAcentral.